RNAcentral lists this transfer RNA (67 nucleotides) under Solenodon paradoxus (Hispaniolan solenodon). RNAcentral describes it as "tRNA-Val". It matches the Rfam family "tRNA". From Rfam's summary of the family: Transfer RNA (tRNA) molecules are approximately 80 nucleotides in length. Their secondary structure includes four short double-helical elements and three loops (D, anti-codon, and T loops). Further hydrogen bonds mediate the characteristic L-shaped molecular structure. tRNAs have two regions of fundamental functional importance: the anti-codon, which is responsible for specific mRNA codon recognition, and the 3' end, to which the tRNAs corresponding amino acid is attached (by aminoacyl-tRNA synthetases). tRNAs cope with the degeneracy of the genetic code in two manners: having more than one tRNA (with a specific anti-codon) for a particular amino acid; and 'wobble' base-pairing, i.e. permitting non-standard base-pairing at the 3rd anti-codon position. RNAcentral also lists the same sequence under 2 other names. Lineage: Eukaryota; Metazoa; Chordata; Mammalia; Eulipotyphla; Solenodontidae. The record is from RNAcentral.
CAAAGCGUAGCUUAAACCAAAGCACCUGACUUACACUCAGGAGAUUUCACACUAAAGAACGCUUUGA